GACAGCAGCCGCCGCGGUAACACGUAGGGUGCAAGCGUUAAUCGGAAUUACUGGGCGUAAAGCGUGCGCAGGCGGUUCUAUAAGACAGAUGUGAAAUCCCCGGGCUCAACCUGGGAACUGCAUUUGUGACUGUAGAGCUGGAGUACGGCAGAGGGGGAUGGAAUUCCGCGUGUAGCGGUGAAAUGCGUAGAUAUGCGGAGGAACACCGAUGGCGAAGGCAAUCCCCUGGGCCUGUACUGACGCUCAUGCACGAAAGCGUGGGGAGCAAACAGGAUUAGAUACCCCCGUAGUCCCUGUCUCUUAUAC
This 306-nucleotide ribosomal RNA is filed under the name uncultured bacterium. RNAcentral describes it as "partial 16S ribosomal RNA". It matches the Rfam family "Bacterial small subunit ribosomal RNA", at positions 507 to 807 of the family's 1533-position model. The record is from RNAcentral.